RNAcentral lists this ribosomal RNA (920 nucleotides) under uncultured gamma proteobacterium M84-D41. RNAcentral's name for it is "bacterial SSU rRNA". It matches the Rfam family "Bacterial small subunit ribosomal RNA", at positions 78 to 997 of the family's 1533-position model. Lineage: Bacteria; Pseudomonadati; Pseudomonadota; Gammaproteobacteria. The record is from RNAcentral.
CUUCGGGAGCUGACGAGUGGCGGACGGGUGAGUAAUGCAUAGGAAUCUGCCUGUUAGUGGGGGACAACGUGGGGAAACUCACGCUAAUACCGCAUACGCCCUACGGGGGAAAGCUGGGGAUCUUCGGACCUGGCGCUAAUAGAUGAGCCUAUGUUGGAUUAGCUAGUUGGUAGGGUAAUGGCCUACCAAGGCGACGAUCCAUAGCUGGUCUGAGAGGAUGAUCAGCCACACUGGGACUGAGACACGGCCCAGACUCCUACGGGAGGCAGCAGUGGGGAAUAUUGGACAAUGGGCGAAAGCCUGAUCCAGCAAUACCGCGUGUGUGAAGAANGCCUGAGGGUUGUAAAGCACUUUCAAUAGGAAGGAAUACCUGCCGGUUAAUACCCGGUAGACUGACAUUACCUAUACAAGAAGCACCGGCUAACUCCGUGCCAGCAGCCGCGGUAAUACGGAAGGUUCAAGCGUUAAUCGGAAUUACUGGGCGUAAAGCGUGCGUAGGCGGUUGUUUAAGUCAGAUGUGAAAGCCCUGGGCUUAACCUGGGAACUGCAUUUGAUACUGGGCAACUAGAGUUUAGUAGAGGGGAGUGGAAUUUCAGGUGUAGCGGUGAAAUGCGUAGAGAUCUGAAGGAACACCAGUGGCGAAGGCGGCUCCCUGGACUAAAACUGACGCUGAGGUACGAAAGCGUGGGUAGCAAACAGGAUUAGAUACCCUGGUAGUCCACGCCGUAAACGAUGUCAACUAACUGUUGGGUUCUUAAAGAACUUAGUAGUGGAGCUAACGUAUUAAGUUGACCGCCUGGGGAGUACGGCCGCAAGGCUAAAACUCAAAUGAAUUGACGGGGGCCCGCACAAGCGGUGGAGCAUGUGGUUUAAUUCGAUGCAACGCGAAGAACUUACCUACCCUUGACAUCCAUACAAUC